CCUCAGCCCCAGAGCCUGGGAAUCCACCCUCAGAGUUUCCUGCCCAGAACAGCAACUGGCCCCAUCUGGAGCGGGCUCUGACGUUGCAAGAAGCAAACCCUGAAGCCCAGAGGAGGAAAGGAGCAGCUUGGAAAAGGAGAGCCCUCCAUAAAUGAAAGUCACCAAGUUAGUCAUCUCUGAGCAGCCCAGCCUGGCUUUAAGUGGCGAUGCUAGUUCUCAGACUGCAGUCUGCCCUGUGUCGAGAUUUCACUGUUUCCCGUCUGUUUUCCUCGUUCAUUCGUUCCUACAGCAUUUGCUCCAGGAAAUUAAAGCCCUGAUCUCCAGCGUGACGGCUGGAGACGGUGCCUUUGGGAGGAAGCAAGGUUUGGAUGAGCUAAUAAGGACAGAGCCCUCGAAGCGCCAUUAUAAGAGGCCCUGGAAAACUUUCUCACUCCCCUUUUUGCACCAUGGAAGGAUAUAACAAGAAGGCAGCCACCUGCAAGCUAGAGAGAGAGCCCUCGCAGCAGCAGACCGCACCUGCACCUGGACCUAGAAUGCUCAGCAUCCGGAACCGUGAGAGGGUCAUCCCUGCUCUUUAAAGCAUGCAGCCUGUGGUAUUUCAUUACAGCGGUCCGAGCAGACGAAUACAACCACCCGGAAUUAACAGUGAGAUUAACCGAAGAAACACUCGCCAUUAAUGUAUGUAAAGGCACCUACUUUGAAGGAUUUAUAGCGCUCAUCAUUCAGUACAGCAUUCACUUCAGAACUCUCUCCAUCUUCAAUAAUCUCCUAUACGAAAGGUCGGUGAACAAUUCAGAUUAGUGGUGGUGGACAAUCCCAGUCUGAGAAGCUCAGCUCACAGACCUCCUAACCUGACUUCUCAUGAAACACAUAUCCAUUGUGCAGGGUGUUCUCUCGGAUGAUCUGGAGGGAACAAGACACUUCCCUGUAACCCUGAAAACCCUGACCCAGCAUGUACCCAAGAGCCUUACAGUCCUCAGGGACAAGGGAAUGAUUGGCGGCCAGAUCUGUGGAACCCCAAGCCCAAAUACGCAUCAUUGAU
Tupaia belangeri chinensis (Chinese tree shrew) is the source of this 1042-nucleotide long non-coding RNA. RefSeq lists it as uncharacterized. The transcript has 3 exons. NCBI's taxonomy places the organism in Eukaryota, Metazoa, Chordata, Mammalia, Scandentia, Tupaiidae. The record is from RefSeq and is a predicted model, not a curated record.